GGGGCAUGUCUACUAAACAGUGAGCAGCCUAUGGCUGCUCUCUGUUAAAAGAACAAACAAAAAAACCUAGUGUCCACCCAACCGUGCCGCAUGAUCAGGGGCUAUUGAACUGACCUAUUGCGCCCCCCUUGACCCCCACCCCGAGCGGCAGGUGGGGGCCCUAAAUGAAAAUGUGGGUGGGUACCGAUUGUCCUCCCCCCGGGUCCCCACCACUGAGUGGCGGGUGGGGACCCUAAAGUGCAAUAAGGGAGGUGGAACCUAUUGUCCUCCCCCCGGCUCAAGGGUGGGGGUGGGGGUGGGGAGGACAAUAGGUCCCCCAUUCAGUUCAAUAGUCGCGACUUGCACGGCGCGGGUGGGGACUCG
Pelobates cultripes (western spadefoot toad) is the source of this 363-nucleotide non-coding RNA. The record is from the annotation of a GenBank genome assembly. Lineage: Eukaryota; Metazoa; Chordata; Amphibia; Anura; Pelobatidae.